This 291-nucleotide ribosomal RNA is filed under the name uncultured bacterium. RNAcentral's name for it is "partial 16S ribosomal RNA". It matches the Rfam family "Bacterial small subunit ribosomal RNA", at positions 64 to 363 of the family's 1533-position model. The record is from RNAcentral.
GUGCGAGAACUUUUCUUAGCUUGCUUGAGCACGGACAGCGGCGAAAGGGAGAGUAACGUGUGGUUACGUGCCCUCGGGUCCAGGAUAGCGUUGGGAAACUGGCGGUAAUACCGAAUGAUAUCUUUGGAUCAAAGGUGUGAUUCCGCCCUUGGAUCGGACCGCAUACUAUUAGCUUGUUGGUGAGGUAAUGGCUCACCAAGGCUGCGAUGGUUACCGGGUGUGAGAGCAUGGCCCGGCUCACUGGGACUGAGACACUGCCCAGACACCUACGGAUGGCUGCAGUCGAGAAUC